AAAGACGAAAAGCAUGUCUUACCAAAUCACUUAUUGUUAACUUGUCAAAUCAGUGAUGCCAUGGAAACUAUGCUUUUAAAAAGCUCCUAAUUCGUUGGAUUUUGGCAGUAUACUAGUACUUUUUAAUACAAAUUUUAUUUUUUAUUUAAUUUAAAACCCUACCAAAAUAAAUAAUUGAAUUUCAAAUUUUGUGGAUUAGAUAAUUAUUUUUUGUUUGUUAGUAAUAUUUUAAAAUUAAUUUAUUUAAUUUAAAAUCUCACAUCAAAAU
This 268-nucleotide long non-coding RNA is filed under the name Lathyrus oleraceus (garden pea). RNAcentral describes it as "Pisum sativum (pea) long non-coding RNA (PSAT_LNC021275)". Lineage: Eukaryota; Viridiplantae; Streptophyta; Magnoliopsida; Fabales; Fabaceae. The record is from RNAcentral.